This 372-nucleotide ribosomal RNA is filed under the name uncultured bacterium. Its description in RNAcentral is "bacterial SSU rRNA". It matches the Rfam family "Bacterial small subunit ribosomal RNA", at positions 524 to 898 of the family's 1533-position model. The record is from RNAcentral.
UACGGAGGGUGCAAGCGUUAUCCGGAUUCACUGGGUUUAAAGGGUGCGUAGGUGGGCUAGUAAGUCAGUGGUGAAAUCUCCGGGCUUAACCCGGAAACUGCCAUUGAUACUAUUAGUCUUGAAUGUUGUGGAGGUAAGCGGAAUAUGUCAUGUAGCGGUGAAAUGCUUAGAUAUGACAUAGAACACCGAUAGCGUAGGCAGCUUACUACACAAAUAUUGACACUGAGGCACGAAAGCGUGGGGAUCAAACAGGAUUAGAUACCCUGGUAGUCCACGCCCUAAACGAUGGAUACUCGACAUCAGCGAUACACUGUUGGUGUCUGAGCGAAAGCAUUAAGUAUCCCACCUGGGAAGUACGACCGCAAGGUUGAA